RNAcentral lists this ribosomal RNA (300 nucleotides) under uncultured Kosmotoga sp. Its description in RNAcentral is "bacterial SSU rRNA". It matches the Rfam family "Bacterial small subunit ribosomal RNA", at positions 496 to 795 of the family's 1533-position model. The record is from RNAcentral. Lineage: Bacteria; Thermotogati; Thermotogota; Thermotogae; Kosmotogales; Kosmotogaceae.
GCGAAGUUGGUGGCGGGGGCGGCGGUAAGACGAGGGGGGCGAGCGUUGGUCGGAAGUACUGGGCGGAAAGCGCGCGCAGGCGGCUAUCCAAGUCAGUGGUGAAAGCCCGGAGCUUAACUCCGGAACUGCCAUUGAAACUGUUUAGCUGGAGUAUGAGGGAGGUGAGUGGAAUUCCCAGUGUAGAGGUGAAAUUCGUAGAUAUUGGGAAGAACACCGGUGGCGAAGGCGGCUCACUGGCUCAUUACUGACGCUCAUGCGCGACAGCGUGGGGAUCAAACAGGAUUAGAUACCCGAGUAGUC